This 465-nucleotide ribosomal RNA is filed under the name uncultured bacterium. RNAcentral's name for it is "partial 16S ribosomal RNA". It matches the Rfam family "Bacterial small subunit ribosomal RNA", at positions 28 to 507 of the family's 1533-position model. The record is from RNAcentral.
GAUGAACGCUGGCGGCGUGCUUAACACAUGCAAGUCGAACGGAAAGGCCCAAGCUUGCUUGGGUACUCGAGUGGCGAACGGGUGAGUAACACGUGGGUGAUCUGCCCUGCACUUCGGGAUAAGCCUGGGAAACUGGGUCUAAUACCGGAUAGGACCGCAUUUUGGAUGGUGUGGUGGAAAGUUUUUCGGUGUGGGAUGAGCUCGCGGCCUAUCAGCUUGUUGGUGGGGUAAUGGCCUACCAAGGCGUCGACGGGUAGCCGGCCUGAGAGGGUGUACGGCCACAUUGGGACUGAGAUACGGCCCAGACUCCUACGGGAGGCAGCAGUGGGGAAUAUUGCACAAUGGGCGCAAGCCUGAUGCAGCGACGCCGCGUGGGGGAUGACGGCCUUCGGGUUGUAAACUCCUUUCGCUAGGGACGAAGCGCAAGUGACGGUACCUGGAGAAGAAGCACCGGCUAACUACGUG